GACGAACGCUGGCGGCGUGCCUAAUACAUGCAAGUCGAGCGAAGUUUUUCUGGUGCUUGCACCGGAAAAACUUAGCGGCGAACGGGUGAGUAACACGUAAAGAACCUGCCUCAUAGACUGGGACAACUAUUGGAAACGAUAGCUAAUACCGGAUAACAGCAUUAACUGCAUGGUUGAUGUUUAAAAGUUGGUUUUGCUAACACUAUGAGAUGGCUUUGCGGUGCAUUAGCUAGUUGGUGGGGUAAAGGCCUACCAAGGCGACGAUGCAUAGCCGACCUGAGAGGGUGAUCGGCCACACUGGGACUGAGACACGGCCCAGACUCCUACGGGAGGCAGCAGUAGGGAAU
RNAcentral lists this ribosomal RNA (347 nucleotides) under Gemella haemolysans. RNAcentral's name for it is "bacterial SSU rRNA". It matches the Rfam family "Bacterial small subunit ribosomal RNA", at positions 28 to 362 of the family's 1533-position model. Lineage: Bacteria; Bacillati; Bacillota; Bacilli; Caryophanales; Gemellaceae. The record is from RNAcentral.